UAAUCAUACGCUCGUCUCAAAGAUUAAGCCAUGCAAGUGUAAGUAUAAGCUUUUAUAUAGUGAAACUGCGAAUGGCUCAUUAUAUCAGUUAUCGUUUAUUUGAUAAAAAUUACUAGAUGGAUAACCGUAGUAAUUCUAGAGCUAAUACAUGCAUAAAUUUUUAUUUUUACAAAUAAAAUGCAUUUAUUAGAAUAAAAUCAAUUUUAUUUUUUUAACCGAAAAUAAAUAUGAUGAUUCAUAAUAACUAGCAGAUCGCAGUUGGUUAAUUCCGGCGAUAAAUCAUUUAAGUUUCUGCCCUAUCAGCUUUGGAUGGUAGUGUAUUGGACUACCAUGGCAAUAACGGGUAACGAAGAAUUUGGGUUCGAUUUCGGAGAGGGAGCCUGUAGAACGGCUACCACAUCCAAGGAAGGCAGCAGGCGCGUAAAUUACCCAAUCCUAACAUAGGGAGGUAGUGACAAGAAAUAACAAUGCUGAGCGAAAGUUUAGCAAUUGUGCUGAGUGAAAUUUAAAUAAC
RNAcentral lists this ribosomal RNA (514 nucleotides) under Protoopalina intestinalis. RNAcentral's name for it is "bacterial SSU rRNA". It matches the Rfam family "Eukaryotic small subunit ribosomal RNA", at positions 21 to 533 of the family's 1831-position model. Lineage: Eukaryota; Bigyra; Opalinata; Opalinidae. The record is from RNAcentral.